AAAUAAUAUCUUAAAACAUCGAAUUUGAACCAAAUUAUUGCUAAUCUAUUAUGAGGCUAAGCACACUCCCUCUCUUUAGGCCUAGCCCAACAUUAGUUACCCUAGCAUACCUGGCUACCUGCGCCUGUCCCUCUCCUCAUUUUCUCCGUUUCACCCUCGCAACCAAAAACAGCCGCACCGAAUGUAAAGCCGCACGGCUCGCACCAACUUCUUCCUCAAGCUUCUUUGUCUCUCUACAAACUAUCGAUUCUCUUUCUCUGCAACAAUGGCUGUUGCCCCGUAUCAAUCGCCUGAAAGCUUCUUAGCUUGACAGUUCGAUUUUGGAUCUUUUUCCUGCUUCCGCUACAUCUUCUGAAUACUUUUGUUUUGCGAAUCUCUGCAAUUCUAGGGUUUCGUGUUCUUCCCCAAUUCUAUCAAAUUCUGAUUCUUUGUUUCCUUUGUCCACUUUCAGUUCACGGUUUUCGAGAUGUCCAAUGAUUCAAGAAUACUCCAUUUGGUUUUGUGUUCUUCCCCAAUUCUAUCAAAUUCUGAUUCUCUGUUUCUUUCGUUCACCUUCGGUUCACGGUUUCGAGAUGGCCAGUGAUCCAAGAAUACUCCAUUUUUGACGGUUUCGAGAUGGCCAGUGACCCAAGAAUACUCAAUUUGUAAGUGUUUUUUGUUUAUAAAUUAGUAAGUGUUUUUUGUUCAUAAAUUAGUGAUUAUGUUUUCACUUUAUUACUAUUUGCAUGAUUAUGUUUUCACUUUAUUACUAUUUGUAUGAUUAAGUUUUCACUUUA
Pyrus x bretschneideri (Chinese white pear) is the source of this 776-nucleotide long non-coding RNA. RefSeq lists it as uncharacterized. Lineage: Eukaryota; Viridiplantae; Streptophyta; Magnoliopsida; Rosales; Rosaceae. The transcript is spliced from 3 exons. The record is from RefSeq and is a predicted model, not a curated record.